AUAAUGCACCAGCGACUCAGGAAAGGCAAGUGGACGCUUGGUCUGACAAGACAUCCUUGCAUCAAACACCACAGGCCUCAGUAGGGGUUGAUUAUCCUGCAACGUUGAAAAGGGAAUCACUGUUUCUGGAUCGGGAAAGCCAGAUGGAAUCUCAUAUUCCAUCCUCUAGACUACCAUUGUAUGGGCAGGAACAUGGACUUGUGAAUCGUUCUUCAUUAAUAGGGCGUUCCGGAGGACCUGUUGUGACCAGGUUUGUUAACACCUAUAUUUUCACUUGCAACUCUAUGCACUUUAUUCGUUGAAGAACAUUGGUAAUGCCCACUAACCUAUAAAUUUCUUAUUUGUUAAUUGUUUAUGCAGGUUGCACAGACCAUGCAAAUACCUCUUGCAUAUGCAGAGGACAUUAUUGGUGUUCAGGGGACAAAUAUUGAUUACAUUCGACGCAGUAGUGGUGCUAUUUUGACUGUGCAAGAGAGUAGAGGGCUACCUGAGGAA
Molecule: long non-coding RNA, 495 nt
Filed under: Salvia miltiorrhiza (redroot sage)
Lineage: Eukaryota; Viridiplantae; Streptophyta; Magnoliopsida; Lamiales; Lamiaceae
Description: long non-coding RNA (SMIL_LNC010517)
Source: RNAcentral